This is a long non-coding RNA of Amphiprion ocellaris (clown anemonefish), 1164 nucleotides long. NCBI's taxonomy places the organism in Eukaryota, Metazoa, Chordata, Actinopteri, Pomacentridae. The record is from Ensembl.
GUGACUCGACAAAAGGCCAGUUCUGAGUUUUUAUAUGGUUCCUGCAGCAACAUCUUCCCUGAAUGUAUCUAUUAGGGGGGAGUCGGAGCCAGUGCCCGACCUGGUACCGGUUUUUUGUCUUUCCACCACCGGAGCUGCGGCUCCGGGCUCCAAAAACUGGGGCUUUUUCGGGCACCAACUCGUUGCUGGGCCAGAGUUGGCCAGAGUUGAGAACUGAGCAUUUCACGGGCAGGGGGCGGGGAUGCGGUCACCGACAAUCAACGGUGAAAACACCGAAGUGCCAUUUUUAAACAGCCGAGUGAGUAGUAGUAAUGCUUAGUGUUUGUGUUUUGUAAACCAGUAAAUAUAGAUGCCAAAUCCAAGCAGCAGCACUCUGAGGAAGAAAUCCAGUGCUUCCUAGCACUGUGGUCUUCAUAUGAAAUUCAGUCGAGGGUAGAGGGACCACACCGGUGUUCGAAACGAUCCAGCGGGAGAUGGCUGCAGCCGGUACGAGCGGAGCCUUGACUAACUCCUCAACAAAAUUAAAAAGCUUUAAAAUGACUACAGGGACCAGAAAGGGGAGCUGGGAUGCAGCAGUUGUCGGCCAAAAAGAGCCCCCAUUUUGACCCGCUGCAUUCCGUGAUUCCAGCCGGGUCCCUGAACGCCACAUCGGAGCUGGAGUUGAUGCAGGCCGCCAUACAGACCACUGAUCCUGAUCCUGGAAAAAGGAAGUGGGAUGCUGCUGUAGAUCUGCUGCAGUAUCUGGAGAGGUCAGAGGAACGGUUCUUGGAACAGAUCAGAAGACACCAAGACCUGACCACUGCCAUGCUCCAGAAUAUCCAGGGACCAAGACCUGACCACUGCCAUGCUCCAGAAUAUCCAGGGACCAAGACCUGACCACUGCCAUGCUCCAGAAUAUCCAGGGACCAAGACCUGACCACUGCCAUGCUCCAGAACAUUCAGAAGACGGAUGAAAAUUCAAACACCUUGGUUGGACUGAUGGGACGUACGGUGUCAGUGCUGGAGCAACUGUCCCAGAAAUAAACUGCAUUGUCCACUACUUCUGCCUUUUCUAGAAAAAAAAAUCUUUUUUUGUAAAUUCUUUUCCUUCUUAGCUAUUUAAGUUCACUUGUAUUUUACUCUUGCACUUUGGGUGAAUAAAAAUAUAUUUGUGAUGAACGAUGC